CACUUCUAAGGAAGGCAGCAGGCGCGCAAAUUACCCAAUCCUGACUCAGGGAGGUAGUGACAAGAAAUAACAAUAAACCGGCUUAUGCCGGUUUAAUUGGAAUGAGUACAAUUUAAACAUCUUAACGAGGAACAAUUGGAGGGCAAGUCUGGUGCCAGCAGCCGCGGUAAUUCCAGCUCCAAUAGCGUAUACUAAAGUUGUUGCAGUUAAAAAGCUCGUAGUUGGAUUUCUGUGGGGACGGAGCGGCCGGCCGCACAUCGCGGUUCGAGCUAGCGCUUUCCCUACAUCCUGCCGCGAACCGUGCUACCAUUAGUUUGGUGGCGCCGGGGAUCGGCUCGAUUACUUUGAGAAAAAUAGAGUGUUCAAAGCAGGCCACAUGCCUUGAAUAAGUUAGCAUGGAAUAAUAACUAAGGACUUCGGUUCUAUUUUGUUGGUGUUCGGGACUGAAGUAAUGAUUGAUAGGGACAGUUGGGGCGGUCUGUAUUCCAAAGCGAGAGGUGAAAUUCUUAGACCUUCGGAUGACAAACAGCUGCGAAAGCGUUCCGCAAGGAUGUUCCCUUUGAUCAAGAACGAAAGUUGGGGGAUCGAAGACGAUCAGAUACCGUCGUAGUCUCAACUAUAAACUAUACCAGCUAGGGAUCGGCCAACGUUAUUUUAUACCGACUUGGUCGGCACCUUAUGAGAAAUCAAAGCAUCUGGGUUCCGGGGGGAGUAUGGUCGCAAGGCUGAAACUUAAAGGAAUUGACGGAAGGGCACCACCAGCCGUGGAGCCUGUGGCUUAAUUUGACUCAACACGGGAAAACUUACCAGGUCCAGACAUAGUAAGGAUUGACAGAUUGAUAGCUCUUUCUUGAUUCUGUGGGUGGUGGUGCAUGGCCGUUCUUAGUUGGUGGAGUGAUUUGUCUGGUUAAUUCCGUUAACGAACGAGACCCCAGCCUGCUAAAUAGCGCGCGUGAGCUUUGCUCGCGGCGAGCUUCUUAGAGGGACUAUGAUGCGCGAUAGCACAUGGAAGUUUGGGGCAAUAACAGGUCUGUGAUGCCCUUAGAUGUUCUGGGCCGCACACGGGCUACACUGGCGCCUGCAACGAGCAUAUCAGCUGGCCCGAGAGGGUCUUGGCUAAUCUUUUGAACCGGCGCCGUGCUUGGGAUUGACCUUUGCAAUUGUUGGUCAUGCAACGAGGAAUGCCUUGUAAACGCGAGUCAUCAGCUCGCAUUGAAUACGUCCCUGCCCUUUGUACACACCGCCCGUCGCUCCUACCGAUGAAUGUUCCGAUGAAAUUUUCGGAGAGCACCUGUGAACUUGGCUCUGCCUUGCGAACGGGAGGCUCAAAGUCACUUAAAUCUGAACAUUUCG
This 1353-nucleotide ribosomal RNA is filed under the name uncultured marine eukaryote. RNAcentral's name for it is "SSU rRNA". It matches the Rfam family "Eukaryotic small subunit ribosomal RNA", at positions 411 to 1776 of the family's 1831-position model. The record is from RNAcentral.